This is an unclassified non-coding RNA of Fukomys damarensis (Damara mole-rat), 169 nucleotides long. The record is from Ensembl. NCBI's taxonomy places the organism in Eukaryota, Metazoa, Chordata, Mammalia, Rodentia, Bathyergidae.
GGAUAGUGUCACUGGGAGGUGGUAAGAUUCUGUACCCUGGAGUUCUCUCCCAUUGAAUAGGCUCUGCUCAGCCCUUUGAAUGGAGUCAUUUCAGAGACCCUGGCUUUUGGGCUUCUCAUCUUUUAGGAUGGCUGCUUGUCGCAAUAUUGUCUUCCUUGCUUUAGGCAAA